RNAcentral lists this ribosomal RNA (255 nucleotides) under uncultured bacterium. RNAcentral's name for it is "partial 16S ribosomal RNA". It matches the Rfam family "Bacterial small subunit ribosomal RNA", at positions 524 to 777 of the family's 1533-position model. The record is from RNAcentral.
UACGAAGGGGGCUAGCGUUGUUCGGAAUUACUGGGCGUAAAGCGCACGUAGGCGGAUUGUUAAGUUAGGGGUGAAAUCCCAGGGCUCAACCCUGGAACUGCCUUUAAUACUGGCAAUCUCGAGUCCGAGAGAGGUGAGUGGAAUUCCGAGUGUAGAGGUGAAAUUCGUAGAUAUUCGGAGGAACACCAGUGGCGAAGGCGGCUCACUGGCUCGGUACUGACGCUGAGGUGCGAAAAGCGUGGGGAGCAAACAGGG